RNAcentral lists this ribosomal RNA (449 nucleotides) under uncultured bacterium. RNAcentral describes it as "partial 16S ribosomal RNA". It matches the Rfam family "Bacterial small subunit ribosomal RNA", at positions 29 to 523 of the family's 1533-position model. The record is from RNAcentral.
AACGAACGCUGGCGGCAUGCCUAACACAUGCAAGUCGAACGAGAUCUUCGGGUCUAGUGGCGCACGGGUGCGUAACGCGUGGGAAUCUGCCCUCAGGUUCGGAAUAACAGCGAGAAAUUGCUGCUAAUACCGGAUGAUAUCGCGAGAUCAAAGAUUUAUCGCCUGAGGAUGAGCCCGCGUAGGAUUAGCUAGUUGGUGUGGUAAAGGCGCACCAAGGCGACGAUCCUUAGCUGGUCUGAGAGGAUGAUCAGCCACACUGGGACUGAGACACGGCACAGACUCCUACGGGAGGCAGCAGUGGGGAAUAUUGGACAAUGGGCGAAAGCCUGAUCCAGCAAUGCCGCGUGAGUGAUGAAGGCCUUAGGGUUGUAAAGCUCUUUUACCCGGGAUGAUAAUGACAGUACCGGGAGAAUAAGCUCCGGCUAACUCCGUGCCAGCCGCCGCAGUAA